Molecule: ribosomal RNA, 512 nt
Filed under: uncultured bacterium
Lineage: Bacteria
Description: partial 16S ribosomal RNA
Rfam family: Bacterial small subunit ribosomal RNA
Source: RNAcentral
GACGAACGCUGGCGGCGUGCUUAACACAUGCAAGUCGAACGAACAGAGGGAAAGAGCUUGCUCUUCCGGAAUUGAGCGGAAAACGGGUGAGCAACAGGUAAACAACCCUCCUUCAGGAGGGGGACAACAGAAGGAAACGACUGAUAAUACCGAAUAAGUUCCAACAGCUGGAUGGCUCAUGGAAGAAAAGGUGGCCUCCACCUGUAAGUGAAUCCCCGCAGAGUUGGUUGCGUCUGAUUUGCCGGGUGGAGUGGGAACGGCCUUCCAAGGCGACGGUCGGGAGCCGGACUGGGAGGAGGGACAGCCACACUGGAACUGAGACACGGUCCAGACUCCUACGGGAAGCAGGAGUGAGGAAUCUUCCGCAAUGGGCGGAAACCUGACCGAGCAACGCCGCGGUAGGGAUGACGGCCUUCGGGUUGUAAAACUCUGUGAUCCGGGGCGAAAAGACAGAGUGCGAAGAACAAACCGCAUUGACGGUACCGGAUAAGAAAGCCACGGCUAACUACGUG